This 325-nucleotide ribosomal RNA is filed under the name Staphylococcus aureus. RNAcentral's name for it is "partial 23S ribosomal RNA". It matches the Rfam family "Bacterial large subunit ribosomal RNA", at positions 1209 to 1536 of the family's 2925-position model. Lineage: Bacteria; Bacillati; Bacillota; Bacilli; Caryophanales; Staphylococcaceae. The record is from RNAcentral.
GUCCUUUGGACAAUGGUAGGAGAGCGUUCUAAGGGCGUUGAAGCAUGAUCGUAAGGACAUGUGGAGCGCUUAGAAGUGAGAAUGCCGGUGUGAGUAGCGAAAGACGGGUGAGAAUCCCGUCCACCGAUUGACUAAGGUUUCCAGAGGAAGGCUCGUCCGCUCUGGGUUAGUCGGGUCCUAAGCUGAGGCCGACAGGCGUAGGCGAUGGAUAACAGGUUGAUAUUCCUGUACCACCUAUAAUCGUUUUAAUCGAUGGGGGGACGCAGUAGGAUAGGCGAAGCGUGCGAUUGGAUUGCACGUCUAAGCAGUAAGGCUGAGUAUUAGG